GACGAACGCUGGCGGCGUGCUUAACACAUGCAAGUCGAACGGAAGGGCCCUGCUUUUGUGGGGUGCUCGAGUGGCGAACGGGUGAGUAACACGUGAGUAACCUGCCCUUGACUUUGGGAUAACUUCAGGAAACUGGGGCUAAUACCGGAUAGGAGCUCCUGCUGCAUGGUGGGGGUUGGAAAGUUUCGGCGGUUGGGGAUGGACUCGCGGCUUAUCAGCUUGUUGGUGGGGUAGUGGCUUACCAAGGCUUUGACGGAUAGCCGGCCUGAGAGGGUGACCGGCCACAUUGGGACUGAGAUACGGCCCAGACUCCUACGGGAGGCAGCAGUGGGGAAUAUUGCACAAUGGGCGGAAGCCUGAUGCAGCAACGCCGCGUGCGGGAUGACGGCCUUCGGGUUGUAAACCGCUUUCGCCUGUGACGAAGCGUGAGUGACGGUAAUGGGUAAAGAAGCACCGGCUAACUACGUG
This 468-nucleotide ribosomal RNA is filed under the name uncultured bacterium. RNAcentral's name for it is "partial 16S ribosomal RNA". It matches the Rfam family "Bacterial small subunit ribosomal RNA", at positions 28 to 507 of the family's 1533-position model. The record is from RNAcentral.